GCAUUAGUGGUUGAAUGGUAGAAUUCUUGCCUCCCAUGUGAGAGAACUGGGUUCAAUUCCUGGCCAAUGCA
This 71-nucleotide transfer RNA is filed under the name Loxodonta africana (African savanna elephant). It matches the Rfam family "tRNA". From Rfam's summary of the family: Transfer RNA (tRNA) molecules are approximately 80 nucleotides in length. Their secondary structure includes four short double-helical elements and three loops (D, anti-codon, and T loops). Further hydrogen bonds mediate the characteristic L-shaped molecular structure. tRNAs have two regions of fundamental functional importance: the anti-codon, which is responsible for specific mRNA codon recognition, and the 3' end, to which the tRNAs corresponding amino acid is attached (by aminoacyl-tRNA synthetases). tRNAs cope with the degeneracy of the genetic code in two manners: having more than one tRNA (with a specific anti-codon) for a particular amino acid; and 'wobble' base-pairing, i.e. permitting non-standard base-pairing at the 3rd anti-codon position. Lineage: Eukaryota; Metazoa; Chordata; Mammalia; Proboscidea; Elephantidae. The record is from Rfam by way of RNAcentral.